RNAcentral lists this long non-coding RNA (1732 nucleotides) under Salmo salar (Atlantic salmon). Its description in RNAcentral is "lncRNA (ENSSSAG00000102603.1)". The record is from RNAcentral. Lineage: Eukaryota; Metazoa; Chordata; Actinopteri; Salmoniformes; Salmonidae.
GGAGGGAGGGAGAGAAAUAAACAGUGACCGAGGUAAUGAAUGAUAAGCAAAUCUAUCUGUGUAUGUCUGGACUAAAGAAGGGGAGCACUCCUACUGCUAGUUCGUCAUACAGUCAGCUACCUGUAAUCCACUACCACCCCGUGACACCUAUCAAUUGAGACCCAGGACGGGCCCCCAGUCUAACAGGAGCUAAAUGUCUUCAACCUAUCAACGCCCGGCCCAGGAUUCAAACAGGCCGCCUUUCGGCAACAGGUCUAACUCCUUAACCGCUGGGCUACCUACCACCCAUAUUCACAGAAAGUUUACCAACAAGUUUGGACCUGAGCCCUAGGACCAUGCCUCAGGACUACCUGGUAUGAUGACUCCUUGCUGUCCCCAGUCCACCUGGCCGUGCUGCUGCUCCAGUUUCAACUGUUCUGCCUGCGGCUAUGGAACCCUGACCUGUUCACCGGACGUGCUUGUUGCACCCUCGACAACUACUAUGAUUAUUAUUAUUUGACCAUGCUGGUCAUUUAUGAACAUUUUAACAUUUUAACAUCUUGACCAUGUUCUGUUAUAAUAUCCACCCUGCACAGCCAGAAGAGGACUGGCCACCCCUCAUAGCCUGGUUCCUCUCUAGGUUUCUUCAUAGGUUUUUGGCCUUUCUAGGGAGUUUUUCCUAGGGAGUUUUUCCUAGCCACCGUGCUUCUUUCACAUGCUUUGCUUGCUGUUUGGGGUUUUAGGCUGGGUUUCUGUACAGCACUUUGAGAAUAUCAGCUGAUGUACGAAGGGCUAUAUAAAAAUAAAUUUGAUUUGAUUUGAUUUGUCGUAGGAGGUUCGAAGGCAUGUCUGAGGCUUUCUGUGAUAAAAGGAAGAGCGGAAAGGCCCUGGAUGGCAGGUACUGUAGCUUGGCCAAGUACAUCCAGGACCUCUAUGCCAGGCCCCCCCAAAAAAAUUCUAAGACUCCAGCCACCCAAGACAUUGACUGUUCUCUCUGCUACUGCACGGCAUGCGGUACCAGUGCACCAAGUCUGGAACCAACAGGACCCUGAACAGCUUCUACGCCAAGACAUAAGACUUUUUAACACGACUGCUAAAUAGCUAAUCAAAUGGCUACCCAGACUACCUGCAUUUACCCUUUUUUUUAUUAACUCUCUUGCACUGACUCCAUGCACACACACUGGACUCUAACCACACACUCACACAUACUUACACUGACACCCCAACAUACACACAUGCACACACUACAUACGCCCACACACACAACAUGCGCACACAUGCGUACAGAUGCCUCCACACAAACACACGCUCACACCACAGACACUGCUACAGCUCAGUCUAUUAUCUAUCCUGUUGCCUAGUCACUUUACCGCUACCUAUACAUGUCUACCUGUACAUUAGCUACCUAAAUUACCUUGUACUACUGCACAUCAACUCGGUACUGGUACUCCUUGUAUAUAGCCAUGUUAUUUUUACUCUUUAUUGUUAUUUGUUGUUCACUGUGUAAUUAUUCCUUGUCACUUAUUUUAAUCUUUAUCUUUAACUCUGCAUUGUUAGAAAAGGACCCAUGAGUACGCAUUUUGCUGUUAGUCUACACCUGUUGUUUAUGAAGCAUGUGACAAAUAAAAUGUGAUUUGAUUUGAAAGAGGAGGAGAGAGGGGGGGGUAGACCCAUUCCAAAACCAGGGGGAACGUGGGGCUACCAGGCCUAGUUGAGUCCAUUAGUCGCAUGUAGAGUUGACAGCCCCCCCCCC